This 497-nucleotide ribosomal RNA is filed under the name uncultured bacterium. Its description in RNAcentral is "partial 16S ribosomal RNA". It matches the Rfam family "Bacterial small subunit ribosomal RNA", at positions 28 to 507 of the family's 1533-position model. The record is from RNAcentral.
GAUGAACGCUGGCGGCGUGCCUAAUACAUGCAAGUCGAGCGAACGGACGAGAAGCUUGCUUCUCUGAUGUUAGCGGCGGACGGGUGAGUAACACGUGGAUAACCUACCUAUAAGACUGGGAUAACUUCGUGAAACCGGAGCUAAUACCGGAUGAUAUUUUGAACCGCAUGGUUCAAAAGUGAAAGACGGUCUUGCUUUCACUUAUAGAUGGAUCCGCGCUGCAUUAGCUAGUUGGUAAGGUAACGGCUUACCAAGGCAACGAUGCAUAGCCGACCUGAGAGGGUGAUCGGCCACACUGGAACUGAGACACGGUCCAGACUCCUACGGGAGGCAGCAGUAGGGAAUAUUCCGCAAUGGGCGAAAGCCUGACGGAGCAACGCCGCGUGAGUGAUGAAGGUCUUCGGAUCGUAAAACUCUGUUAUUAGGGAAGAACAUAUGUGUAAGUAACUGUGCACAUCUUGACGGUACCUAAUGAGAAAGCCACGGCUAACUACGUG